This 301-nucleotide ribosomal RNA is filed under the name uncultured bacterium. RNAcentral's name for it is "partial 16S ribosomal RNA". It matches the Rfam family "Bacterial small subunit ribosomal RNA", at positions 509 to 809 of the family's 1533-position model. The record is from RNAcentral.
CAGUAGCCGCGGUAAUACAGAGGGUGCGAGCGUUAAUCGGAUUUACUGGGCGUAAAGCGUGCGUAGGCGGCUUCUUAAGUCGGAUGUGAAAUCCCUGAGCUUAACUUAGGAAUUGCAUUCGAUACUGGGAAGCUAGAGUAUGGGAGAGGAUGGUAGAAUUCCAGGUGUAGCGGUGAAAUGCGUAGAGAUCUGGAGGAAUACCGAUGGCGAAGGCAGCCAUCUGGCCUAAUACUGACGCUGAGGUACGAAAGCAUGGGGAGCAAACAGGAUUAGAUACCCCAGUAGUCCCUGUCUUUUAUAC